UACGAAGGGGGCUAGCGUUGCUCGGAAUCACUGGGCGUAAAGCGCACGUAGGCGGCUUUUUAAGUCAGGGGUGAAAUCCUGGAGCUCAACUCCAGAACUGCCUUUGAUACUGAGAAGCUUGAGUCCGGGAGAGGUGAGUGGAACUGCGAGUGUAGAGGUGAAAUUCGUAGAUAUUCGCAAGAACACCAGUGGCGAAGGCGGCUCACUGGCCCGGUACUGACGCUGAGGCGCGAAAGCAUGGGUAGCGAACAGG
Molecule: ribosomal RNA, 253 nt
Filed under: uncultured bacterium
Lineage: Bacteria
Description: partial 16S ribosomal RNA
Rfam family: Bacterial small subunit ribosomal RNA
Source: RNAcentral